CACAGUACAUGUGGUUUACCUUCGGGGACCGUGAACACACGGUGCUGCNUAGGCUGUCGUCAGCUCGUGUCGUGAGAUGUUGGGUUAAGUCCCGCAACGAGCGCAACCUCGCCCUUAGUUUUGGCCCCAGCAUUUUUACGUUGCGGCACUCUAGAGGGGACUGCCGGUGAUNAGCCGAGAGGAAGGUGGGGAUGACGUCAAGUCCUCAUGGCCCUUACGGGCUGGGCUACACACGUGCUACAAUGGUGGUUGACAGUGGGCAGCGAANUGAGCGAUCCCGAGCGUAAUCUCCUAAAAGCCAUCUCAGUUCGGAUUUGCACUCUGGAACUCGAGUGCAUGAAGUUCGGAAUCGCUAGUAAUCGCGGAUCAGCACUGCCGCGGUGAAUACGUUCCCGGGUCUUNGUACA
RNAcentral lists this ribosomal RNA (407 nucleotides) under Rhizobium sp. LGI1O. RNAcentral describes it as "bacterial SSU rRNA". It matches the Rfam family "Bacterial small subunit ribosomal RNA", at positions 999 to 1382 of the family's 1533-position model. The record is from RNAcentral. Lineage: Bacteria; Pseudomonadati; Pseudomonadota; Alphaproteobacteria; Hyphomicrobiales; Rhizobiaceae.